UACGAAGGGGGCUAGCGUUGUUCGGAUUUACUGGGCGUAAAGCGCACGCAGGCGGUCCGUUAAAUAAGGAGUGAAAGCCCUGGGCUCAACCCGGGAAUUGCUCUUUAGACUGGCGGACUAGAAUCCAGAAGAGGGUAGUGGAAUUCCCAGUGUAGAGGUGAAAUUCGUAGAUAUUGGGAAGAACACCAGUGGCGAAGGCGACUGCCUGGUCUGGCAUUGACGCUCAUGUGCGAAAGCGUGGGGAGCAAACAGG
RNAcentral lists this ribosomal RNA (253 nucleotides) under uncultured bacterium. RNAcentral describes it as "partial 16S ribosomal RNA". It matches the Rfam family "Bacterial small subunit ribosomal RNA", at positions 524 to 776 of the family's 1533-position model. The record is from RNAcentral.